GGACGGGCCUCUGGAGAGACUCUUAAAGAGCACCGAAGGAGCAAAUUUAUUAAUUUACUUUUAUAAUAUUUUCAGUGAUAUAAGUGAUAUAUUUAUUAUGAAAAUGUAGUAUUAAACUUUUUAAAGGUAAAUUAUUAAAUGAAACUCUCAGGUAAAAGGACAGAGGAUGAGUU
Clostridium sp. is the source of this 173-nucleotide non-coding RNA. The record is from Rfam. NCBI's taxonomy places the organism in Bacteria, Bacillati, Bacillota, Clostridia, Eubacteriales, Clostridiaceae.